RNA transcript from Coffea eugenioides, 1475 nucleotides. RefSeq lists it as uncharacterized. The record is from RefSeq and is a predicted model, not a curated record. The transcript has 4 exons. NCBI's taxonomy places the organism in Eukaryota, Viridiplantae, Streptophyta, Magnoliopsida, Gentianales, Rubiaceae.
UCUUCUCCUCCUACUUCUCCCAUACGUCCGUCCUUCCCUCCUCUCGUCUUCUUCUUCAAAAACCCACCCCCACUUUCUAAUUUCUUUUCCCUUCCCCAAAACCCCAAAAUUUCCUAAAACCCUUAUGCGAUUCUAAACCCCUUUUCCCAUAUUCCAUGCUUUAGCACAAACCAUUCUAAACUCCAUCCCAUACAUGAAAAAGAUGCUUCCUUUCUCACACCUCAGUUGCCUAUUCCUUGUACUCUGUUGCCUGUCAUCAGCAGUACAAUCGAACUUGGAAUCAUCUUCUUCAAUCUAUGAAGUACUAAAAUGCCAUGGCUUGCCAAUGGGCUUACUCCCUAAGGGAGUCAAGAACUUCACUUUGGAUAAUUCUGGUAAAUUUGAGGUGCACUUGGAUCAAGCUUGCAAUGCUAAAUUUGAAAACGAAUUGCACUACGAAACAAAUGUUUCCGGUACUUUGAGCUACGGCCAGAUCGGUGAGCUGGCUGGAAUUUCAGCACAGGAUUUGUUCUUGUGGUUUCCCGUUAAGGAAAUCAGGGUGGAUAUACCUAGCUCCGGGUUGAUUUAUUUUGAUGUUGGGGUGGUUUCUAAGCAGUUUUCUUUGUCCUCGUUUGAGACACCGAGGGAUUGUACUGCUGUUCAGCUCACGGAUCAGAUUCAAGAUGGGAAGCACAUAUUAGAGGCUGUUUCAAAGAGUCUCUUGGGGAAGCUCCGGUAUCAGCUUGAUCAGGGAGAUUUUGUAAGGACUGUUCUGUAGAUUUUGCUAGUCAGGAGAGGUCAAGUUGCACUAUAGCUCAAUCAGACCAUGGGUCUUCCAUUAUUCAUUCUAUGUACAUGUCUGCCGAAAGUCUGGUUUAGUGGUCAUAUGCUUCAUUCAGGUGUGCUUGCUUGCGGUUUCAUGUAUAGUGCUGCAAACUAUCAUGCCAGCUCCUAUCUUUUUGACGGUUGUGAUUGGACUCCGAGAUGAGGAGAGAAAGCCAGGAUAUAUUGAUGCUUCAUUUGAGUGUCUAUGAGAGAGAGGAUAUAAAGAUACAGGAGCACUACAUAAAUUACUUGUGAUAGAUUUGCAGAGGCUAAGAAAGUUGGAUUCAUUGAAGACGGCAUAUUUUUGCCAAAAAUUGCAUGAGCAAUGGAAUUUCUCUAAUCUAGUGGGCCAGAGUUGAAUCCUAAGCUUAGAAAACCUGCUACCUGCAAAUCUUGAUUCUGCCUCUGUUUAGUUUUGUCUUCCUUAUCAAACUUGCUGUGUUCUUUUACAAGGCCAUGUAUUGAAAUAGUUAGAUGGUCUUUUCCCAAUUCUCACAUGCUUGCUAACAAGAUUUACUUGUUUACAUCAUGCAAGCAAUUCGCUUCUCUUUUCUGUGAUAUUUAUAAUGCGUUCAAAUUUGGGAAAUCAAAAUUGUCAAUAGCUUAAGACCAAAGCUUUCUGUUCUUUCUGCACUUAAGAGGAAAUCAGUAUUCCAGUGGGGGUUUGAUGU